Molecule: ribosomal RNA, 261 nt
Filed under: Malassezia sympodialis
Lineage: Eukaryota; Fungi; Basidiomycota; Malasseziomycetes; Malasseziales; Malasseziaceae
Description: partial 28S ribosomal RNA
Source: RNAcentral
CGAAGUAGGGCGGACGGGGUAGGAUGGGUGUUGCUGCCUGGGGAUUGUACCAGGCUCGCCCGAAAUGCAUAAGCGCCAGGACCCUCGCUACCGCUCUCUAGGGAAGAGUGGCUAAGCGACCGCUGAGCAUGGCAUGAUACGUCAUUUGCUGUGUGUGGGCGGCCGGUUGGAGAGGUGUCUGCUUUAACAGCCCUUUUUAAUUCUGGUCUCAAAUCAGGUAGGAUCACCCGCUGAACUUAAGCAUAUCAAUAAGCGGGAGGA